Bombyx mori (domestic silkworm) is the source of this 445-nucleotide long non-coding RNA. RefSeq lists it as uncharacterized. The transcript has 3 exons. Lineage: Eukaryota; Metazoa; Arthropoda; Insecta; Lepidoptera; Bombycidae. The record is from RefSeq and is a predicted model, not a curated record.
GUCAUUUUGAAAGUUUCAAUUACACUAAAUUAAUCGGCUUAAUCAUGAUGUCAAUCAUCGUGAUCAAUUUACUUAGGGUGAAAAAAUUACACCUGUAGAGUAAAAUUGUAAUUCAGUGAUCAUAUUUGUAUUGUUUAUUUCCUUCUAUCAAAAAUGUAAUUGAAAGAAGUCCGAAAUUCUUGGUGUAAUAAAGUUUAUAAUGAGCGUAUAUGACAGAUUUAGAAUUUUCAAGAUGAUUGGAUAGUAUUCUUGGAUAAAACUUAAUUUUGGACUUCAACUACUUCCACAAUGAUUAUCCACAUCUCACUGGAUUCUGCAAUCGACACCAAAAAAGAACAAAAGAAGUCUUUUGAACAUCGCCGUAACGGUGCAGCACGUGUCCUGUUGAGAAGUGGGGUGGCGGUGGAUUCGUGGAUUUUCGUGUGGCAAACAGAACAGUGCGUGA